Non-coding RNA from Monodelphis domestica (gray short-tailed opossum), 574 nucleotides. NCBI's taxonomy places the organism in Eukaryota, Metazoa, Chordata, Mammalia, Didelphimorphia, Didelphidae. The record is from RefSeq and is a predicted model, not a curated record.
UCUGAAAAUUCUAAGUUGGAAUUCUGAGGAAGGUAACUGCCAUUAAGGGGUUGGAUUGAGACUCUAGAGAAAAAAAAAUACCUCCAAAAUCCAGCUCUUGCCUCCUUUUGACCUUCAGCCUGUUCCUGAGAGAAACCAGCCAGUUCCUGAAUGUCUUUUUGAUCCUAUACUCUGACACACCAAGCCACAACAACCUGAAAUGCUCAGGUCACCAUUAGCAAUGCCUGAGGACAGAAGACUUUUGGCAUCAGGACUCCCCAAAUUCCAACCUAAAACAAAGAUCUGUUCUGUGCUCCAUUCUGACCUCUGAAUAGGAAAGAAAAGAAAAAGAAUCCCAGCCAAUUAUCUUGGGGGCAGCCUCAGUCACUGAAAAUGAGUCAGGAGUUAUUCCCAUCCUCUGAAGAAUGGUGCCUGUCAAAUACCCCCAAACAAAGACUCACAUCCUAUACUUUGUCAAAUGCUGGGGGAUGAAUGAAAAUGAAUGAAAAAAUUACUUAACUACUUACUCCGGCUUUAAAACAUUGUGAUAAUUGCUAAAGACUAAAUAUGAAAAUAAAAGAAGAAAGUCCCUGUG